RNAcentral lists this long non-coding RNA (431 nucleotides) under Helianthus annuus (common sunflower). RNAcentral describes it as "hypothetical non coding rna". The record is from RNAcentral. Lineage: Eukaryota; Viridiplantae; Streptophyta; Magnoliopsida; Asterales; Asteraceae.
UUAAACAAAACAGUGAUUGAUAAGGCAAUGCGAUGUGUGUAGAGCAUAUUGUUAACGGUGAAUAGCGACAAAUAGCAAUAAGGUACCUAAAUGCUACAUAGCGAUAAAUAGCGGGCGCUAUUUUGUAAAGGCAAAAUUGGAUUUAAAUAAUCCCAGCUUUCUCAAUUUGGCCGAUAAUAAUCCCAACUCAGUUAUUGGCCGAUAAAAAUUCGAAAUGGUCCACUUUUGGCUGAUAAUAGUCAGCCGUUAAAAAUAGCUUAACAGAGUUAAGCCUUUUUCCGAAUUACAAACUGAUGUUUUAUGGAUUUUGAUCAGAACGAGGAUAUGAUUUAAACACCCGAAUUGAAGCACUGUUUUCGCUGUUUGGAGCAGUAUUUCAAGGUAAAUUUUACAUCAAUCAACUCGUAUCCUCGUUCUAAUCAAAAGCCCUA